GACGACGCUGGCGGCGUGCCUAACACAUGCAAGUCGAGCGAGUGAAUCUCCUUCGGGAGUGAAGCUAGCGGCGGACGGGUGAGUAACACGUGGGCAACCUGCCUCAUAGAGGGGAAUAGCCUUCCGAAAGGGAGAUUAAUACCGCAUAAGAUUGUAGCUUCGCAUGAAGUAGCAAUUAAAGGAGCAAUCCGCUAUGAGAUGGGCCCGCGGCGCAUUAGCUAGUUGGUGAGGUAAUGGCUCACCAAGGCGACGAUGCGUAGCCGACCUGAGAGGGUGAUCGGCCACAUUGGGACUGAGACACGGCCCAGACUCCUACGGGAGGCAGCAGUGGGGAAUAUUGCACAAUGGGGGAAACCCUGAUGCAGCAACGCCGCGUGAGUGAUGACGGCCUUCGGGUUGUAAAGCUCUGUCUUCAGGGACGAUAAUGACGGUACCUGAGGAGGAAGCCACGGCUAACUACGUG
This 463-nucleotide ribosomal RNA is filed under the name uncultured bacterium. Its description in RNAcentral is "bacterial SSU rRNA". It matches the Rfam family "Bacterial small subunit ribosomal RNA", at positions 33 to 507 of the family's 1533-position model. The record is from RNAcentral.